This 1496-nucleotide long non-coding RNA is filed under the name Erythranthe guttata (spotted monkey flower). Its description in RNAcentral is "long non-coding RNA (EGUT_LNC001451)". Lineage: Eukaryota; Viridiplantae; Streptophyta; Magnoliopsida; Lamiales; Phrymaceae. The record is from RNAcentral.
CACUACAUCAUCAGUUCGUCACCGUGCACAACACUUCUUAUCUCGGCCAAGCAAACCGAUGCAAAGAUUAUAUAUUCAAAUCUGCAACACAUAAUCUCGUAGCUCAGUCGAAGACAUCAAGUGCAUGUACAAUUGAUAAUAGAAAAUAACAUAAUUGAUGCAAAGAUUACAUAUUGAUUUCAUUUUGAUAAGAAAAGAUUUGAAGUUAAUUAUUACGAGAUCACAAUAACAAAUACAUUCAGCUUGUUUGGAUGGAAUUCACUUUGAAAUGAAAUUCAAAUCGUUAGCUCUCGUUUUGAAUCAAUUUACAAGUAAUUUGGCUUCGUUCGGGAAAAAGGUGAAAGAAGCCAUACCUUUCUCCUUUGAUGAUUGUCAUCGAGAACGUGUUUGCUGCUACAUUAUCACCUUAUGUUACGAUUUUCUAUUCAAAAGUUUUAAUAAUAAGAAUAAGCUUCAUCAAUGAAUGAAAGAACUACUUAUUUUACUAUGUUCUAAACCAGACGCCACACAUAUAUACAUACUAUGUAAUAUAACUGUGAUUCUUCACUAUCAAUUCUAUUGCAUCACAUGGCCUGAACUUGGAGAGUGUGGUAACUAGAGUUGAAAACGGCAUUCAAUCUGAAUCCUGCACUCUUGAAAUAUAAAAGGAUAUAUUAGCAAAAUGUGCUCUAGAAUUAGAGAUAAAUCUUAUGCCCCCUAAAACAUCAUUCAUGGAUUCUACAACUAAAGUCUGAUAUCAAAUAAUAGAUGUCCUGAAAGGUUUCAUAUAAUAAUCUGUCAAGGAGCAUACCUAGAAAGUAGCGUACACUCUUUAGUAGAAUUUCACUGUUCAACUGGAAUAUGUAAACUUUAAAGUCGUUCAAUCCACCAAUGUUCAACUGGAAUAAGCCUGAAUUUUGUUUUUACUAGCACUCAUAAAAGUCGUUCAAUCCACCAAUUUCACUAUUUUCUGAGCAGAGCACCCACUAAAUGAUUCACGAAAUUCACAACUUAUCGAGCAUAAAUAAUCAGAAGCCUAAAACUGUGAAACAAAACUCAUUUUUUUUAUCAACACGAAAAAAAAAGAAAAAAGAAAAAAAAUCCACCUAUUUAGAGUUGUGAAUCAUUUUUGCAUUAAUAUUUACCCUUUUAGAGUUCAAUUAAUUCACUGUAUCUAAUAGAAUUUCACUAAGAAACAAGAUAUCAACACGACAACAAAUUCUGCAGCUCUAUCAUUUAAAAAAAUUCCAAAAAACAGAAAACUCAUCAUCUGGAAUAUUAGAGAGAGCAAUAUAAUGCGGAAAAAACAACAGAAAUAAAUAUUUAAUAAGAAUUUCAGUGAUACCUUUUAAGUGGCAGUCUUCGAUUUCCCCGGUAAUGAUUUGAAGAGACCAACUGUAAUUCACAAUAAAAACAAACGAAAUAUAAAUGUAUAUCGCUCCUUAAUAGCUUAUGAAUCCUGAGGCACAUUGAAUAACCAUAGAAGUUCAUAUAUCCUCCACCCAUCCAAACCAGUU